This 318-nucleotide ribosomal RNA is filed under the name Listeria monocytogenes. RNAcentral describes it as "partial 23S ribosomal RNA". It matches the Rfam family "Bacterial large subunit ribosomal RNA", at positions 822 to 1137 of the family's 2925-position model. Lineage: Bacteria; Bacillati; Bacillota; Bacilli; Caryophanales; Listeriaceae. The record is from RNAcentral.
UGAAAGGCCAAUCAAACCGGGAGAUAGCUGGUUCUCCCCGAAAGCUAUUUAGGUAGCGCCUCGUGAACUCAUCUUCGGGGGUAGAGCACUGUUUCGGCUAGGGGGUCAUCCCGACUUACCAACCCGAUGCAAACUACGAAUACCGAAGAAUGUUAUCACGGGAGACACACGGCGGGUGCUAACGUCCGUCGUGAAGAGGGAAACAACCCAGACCGCCAGCUAAGGUCCCAAAGUCAUGGUUAAGUGGGAAACGAUGUGGGAAGGCACAGACAGCCAGGAUGUUGGCUUAGAAGCAGCCAUCAUUUAAAGAAAGCGUAA